UACGGAGGGUGCAAGCGUUGUCCGGAUUUAUUGGGUUUAAAGGGUGCGUAGGCGGCUUUUUAAGUCAGUGGUGAAAGCCUCCAGCUUAACUGGAGAACUGCCAUUGAUACUGAGGAGCUUGAGUAUAGUUGAGGUAGGCGGAAUUGACAGUGUAGCGGUGAAAUGCAUAGAUAUUGUCAAGAACACCGAUUGCGAAGGCAGCUUACUAAGCUAUAACUGACGCUGAGGCACGAAAGUGUGGGUAUCAAACAGGAUUAGAUACCCUGGUAGUCCACACUGUAAACGAUGAUUACUCGCUGUUGGCGAUAUACAGUCAGCGGCCAAGCGAAAGCGUUAAGUAAUCCACCUGGGGAGUACGCCGGCAACGGUGAA
This 372-nucleotide ribosomal RNA is filed under the name uncultured bacterium. Its description in RNAcentral is "bacterial SSU rRNA". It matches the Rfam family "Bacterial small subunit ribosomal RNA", at positions 524 to 898 of the family's 1533-position model. The record is from RNAcentral.